This 507-nucleotide long non-coding RNA is filed under the name Brassica napus (rape). Its description in RNAcentral is "long non-coding RNA (BNAP_LNC018635)". The record is from RNAcentral. Lineage: Eukaryota; Viridiplantae; Streptophyta; Magnoliopsida; Brassicales; Brassicaceae.
CACAAACUACCAUAAAACUAAAUAUAGAAGAUAGGAUUGACCCAACACAUCCAAAAGCAAGUCUUUAACACAUUGUAACCGUCAACCGAUCAUGAAAACCAGAAAGGAAGUUGUCAUGGGACGGAUGCAGAUGAAGUUUUAAUCAAAGGAAGAUGAUAUAUGUAUAACACAAUAGAGGGGAAAACCAAAUUGAGUUUUGGUGGGUGGAUUAGGUGCAUACCAAGACAAAAACGCCAAGGAGGCCUUUCAUGGGGGGUAUGGCCUGUCGACACAAACAUGUGAAACCAAUACUGGUUUCCUUAUUCUCUAGCUUGUUCCUUUUUUAUUCAACCAAAACAAAUUAGACUCUUUUUUUUUGUGAAAAGGAAAACAAAUUAGAUUUUCCCUCUAUUAUUCUAUACAUAUCAUCUUCCUCGGAUUCUCUCAGAUCUUAUAGCUCCCAUUGAUAUUGUUUUGUUUAAUUAUCCAACUUAUAAAUAUAACUCGAAAUCAUUUGUUCUUCUGCAC